UCACUGUCUUGUAAGCUGUACGGCCGUAAAUGUUUAGACACUUCCAAGAUGGCGGACGCUGAAAGUCAACACAGGUCUAUAAUGGCGAAAAGUCGAGCUUAAUAUAAAAAAGAAUAUAAAUAGAGAAAAAAGAAGAAUGAUUAAUCAUACCUGGAAAAGGAGCAUUUACGAGCUGAAGGAAACCGAGAGUCCAUUCACAAGCACAAAUUCGUUUGAGAAUGAUACAACAAGAAUGCAAAUGAUGCCUAGAUCACAACAUGAUCUGAAUCUGCUUGGAGUAAAAAAUCAUUCUAGAAAAGUAAUAAAAAAACUGGAGAUGUCAAAUGCAAUUAUUGCUGAAGGGAGAGAGGCAGCACAAAAAGCAACAUCUCAGUCAAUGAAAAGAGUAUGAUGAGAGUAGUCUGUGGAAGAAUAGUAAAAAAGUGUAAGUGUUAGACACAAUCAAAAAGCAAACAGGUCUUGGUAGAAAAGGGCUGAAAAGUUCCAACACGAAAAUACUGAGACCUAUUUGUCGAAAACGACUCGACGAAGAGAGAACAUGAUAAAAACAGAAAUCAUUUAGUUCCUUGAAAGGGAACAUCAUGUCAGUAUUCAGAUGCCUGGGAAAAAGAUACCAAAGCCCAUGAACCAAGGUGAUAAGAGACAAGUGCAUGUCCUCAAUCAUUAUCUAGAGAAUAUAUAUCAAAAGUAUAAAGCAGAAAACCCAAACAUAAAGAUUUCUAAAUAAAGUCCAAGACAGUAAAGCCGACAUUGAAAACGUAGUGACAGAUGAAAGUUCCUGUUGUUGGAUCAUUUGUUUUGGCUAAAUAUGAGGGCAAACAGUAUGUGGGUAAAGUCCUAUAGGUCGACUCCAAUGAAAAGGAUGCGCAUGUUUCGUUCAUGGAAAAGACCCGUGUCAAAUGGUCGAUACCACUGUUCACAUGGCCUUCAAGAACUGAUGAAUUGUGGGUAGACUUUAAAAACAUCAUAUCUUAAAUCUAGGAACCUUCCCCCCUAUGGCAAGACCAAAAGGCACUACAGAUUGAACAAUAAUGACUCUGCUUUCUUUGCUAACUAUGUUCAGACUGAUGUUCAGUUUACGACAAUUUAACUUUAGAGUUUUUGUGUUAACGUAUCUGAUGACAUUUUUUCUUUGACUCCACUAGCAAUAGCAGAAGUACUAGUAUAAGUUAUAUUCACAUAAUUAUGUAAAUUUACAUUGAAUGUGUUUGAGAAAAUGCAGUAUUCUUUAUAUACCACUUUUCCUACGGAAUUUGCAUUUAAACUUUAACCGUAAUAAAUGAUUAAUUUUUAACUGUUUUUUUUUUAUUUAUUUUACUGAUGUAUGGACAUUAUACAGAAACGAUGCAGUAGAAAAAAAUGUGAGGUAUAAAAAUCGGUCAAACAAUAUGCAUAUGUUAUGAUAAUGUUUGUUGUAAUAGUUCUUUUUCACAUUUCCAUUCAUUAGAUGUGUUCAUUCAUUCAUUGUUGCCUUUCAUCAGAUAUACCUCUGGUUUACGCAUAAAAUUAUUAUCAUAUAUAUAUAUAAACAUAAAAUAUAGUAUAAAUCAAGUAAGGUAGUAAGCAAAAGAUUUUUUUAAUAUAGUUACCUUUGUAAUAUGAUAGUUAUUGUAAGAUUUGUGUUAAACAAUAGCGGUGUAAUUUUGAAAGAGAUAUGAAAGUGGUCAGUUAACACGAAAUGUUUCAUUUGAUUACACUAUGCAAAACGUAGAACAAAAACGAAACAUUGUUAAUUUUGAUUUACAUACAUAAAUGUUUCUAAAUUUCCAUAACAAAGUUUUACAUGAUACAAAAGUGUAAUUUUGUCAAACUUAAUUUCACUGAUUAACGUAUCUGAUGAGAAAAGUCAACACCUUUAAAAAAUAUGAUUUUUUUGGUGUAUUAAGUUGGUUGGGAAUCACCCAUUAUCAGUUUUAUGAAACUUGUAUGUUGUAAUUUCAAUGAACAUUGAGAUAGGUUUAUUUUCAAAAAUGAAGUUGGAACUUUAAGUGAAUUUGAACGCGUAGUUAAUUUACAUAUAUUUUUAUAUGGCAUUUUUAGCAUAGCCGAAAUUAACUUGUAUCUACACCGUUCAGUUUUUCGCUUAAUUCUAUGUAUAAACCGUUCACAAAAAACGUGUCUACACCGCUCAGCGUGAAUAUGUUGGUAUAGUCUACGCCGCUGUAUUGGCAAUUUAAAAAUCAUAAAAAAAUUUAUAUUUCCAGUUAUGUUUCGUAAAAUCAAGCAUUACUAUCGUAAAGAACCGGCAAAAAGCUUCAAAAUACCACAGAAAUAUCUAAACAGUUAUGAUAACUGAAUAAGAUACGGCCGAAAAUAAUGUGCGUUCCUCGAUUCGAUUUUAAUUUCAUCAAAUUGGCACAUUUCGCGUCAAUAUAAUUCGAGAAACAAUGAAAUCAACAAACUUUUAGAUAAUGCCGAGGAGGAACAUGUUAUUCCGCUAUCAUUUGCUAUAAGUAUGGCCGUUAAAAGUGUUGAAGAAAACAUGUUAUCAAUGAAAAACUGGAACACCUACCUGUGUUGAUUUUCAGCGUCCGCCAUCUUGGAAGUGUCUAAACAUUUACGGCCGUACAGCUUACAAGACAGUGA
Long non-coding RNA from Mercenaria mercenaria, 2586 nucleotides. RefSeq lists it as uncharacterized. The record is from RefSeq and is a predicted model, not a curated record. Lineage: Eukaryota; Metazoa; Mollusca; Bivalvia; Venerida; Veneridae. The transcript has 2 exons.